AUUGAACGCUGGCGGCAGGCUUAACACAUGCAAGUCGAGCGGGGGAAGGUAGCUUGCUACCGGACCUAGCGGCGGACGGGUGAGUAAUGCUUAGGAAUCUGCCUAUUAGUGGGGGACAACAUCUCGAAAGGGAUGCUAAUACCGCAUACGUCCUACGGGAGAAAGCAGGGGAUCUUCGGACCUUGCGCUAAUAGAUGAGCCUAAGUCGGGUUAGCUAGUUGGUGGGGUAAAGGCCUACCAAGGCGACGUUCUGUAGCGGGUCUGAGAGGAUGCUACGCGACGCUGGGACUGGGACACGGCCCAGACUCCUACGGGAGGCAGCAGUGGGGAAUACUGGACAAUGGGAGGAACCCUGAUCCAGCCAUGCCGCGUGUGUGAAGAAGGCCUUAUGGUUGUAAAGCACUUUAAGCGAGGAGGAGGCUACUUUAGUUAAUACCUAGAGAUAGUGGACGUUACUCGCAGAAUAAGCACCGGCUAACUCUGUGCCAGCCGCCGCCGUAA
RNAcentral lists this ribosomal RNA (501 nucleotides) under uncultured bacterium. Its description in RNAcentral is "partial 16S ribosomal RNA". It matches the Rfam family "Bacterial small subunit ribosomal RNA", at positions 30 to 523 of the family's 1533-position model. The record is from RNAcentral.